CCAAGGUCAAGGUGCUGUCAAGAUGCUGUCCAUGUGACCAGGUUACAUAAAUUCUGCAUCUGACAGUGAUGUGACAAGAGAGGUAGAGAAAGAUGGCCAAAAUAGAAGGCUCCCUCUGUCAUCCCCUCUACAAGAACACCAAAUUUAACAACAAUCUACACACAAAAAAGUACAUUCAUAAGAACUAAAAAUCAGGCCCUGUCUCCCAGACAACAUUUCCAGAAAGACACAUCCUCUGCCAGAAGGGAAUCUGCUGCCUUGAAGAGAAGGACUCAGUCCUGGAAGAACUCAUCACCUGAUGAAUACAGAGUCCUUGGGCCCGGAAUAAC
Molecule: long non-coding RNA, 329 nt
Filed under: Homo sapiens (human)
Lineage: Eukaryota; Metazoa; Chordata; Mammalia; Primates; Hominidae
Description: HSALNT0072833
Source: RNAcentral